This 2788-nucleotide long non-coding RNA is filed under the name Olea europaea subsp. europaea. Lineage: Eukaryota; Viridiplantae; Streptophyta; Magnoliopsida; Lamiales; Oleaceae. The record is from RNAcentral.
CGACUAUGAGUACAGUAGAGGGCAGACAAGCAAUGGAGUCUCCAGCGACUAACACACUUUCUUGAAUCAAUCCCGUUUUAGGUUUUCUUCCCAUCAAUUAAACCGGUAGCCAGAGAGAUCAGAGAAGAGCAAACCCUUCGUGAGUUCUUCCCCCAAUUCUUUCCCGUUAUUUACAUGUUUUUUUUUACAUUAUUUACAUGUUUUUUUCCCCAGUUCCUUCUCCCAAAUCACCAUUCACCCAUUAUUUACAUGAUUUUUUCUAACAUGUUUAUUGUUUAAUUAUUGGUUUUUUUCUUUUUUGAGUAGUUCGUUAUGCUCUAUGUUUAAUUUGUAUUGAUUUUUACGGUUUGGGGAUUUUGUUACAAAUUAUUGAAAGUUUUGUAGUGCCAAAGUGAAUAAGUGAUCCGGUGCUUAUUAAUUAUUAUAUAUUGAUUCAACUCAGAUGACUUUUGGCAGUGGAAUGACUUAAUUAUUGAAAGUGAAUAAUUAUUAAUUAUUGAAAGUUUUGUAAUGCCAAAGCGAAUAAGAGGAAAAUCCUAUUUAUUAUAAGAGUAUAUCUAUUUAAUGUCUUUGAGGAUUUUUAUCAAAAUGGGGUGGUCAAUGCUGCAACUUAUUCUACUUGCUUGACUUUUUUCUUUGUUGUCUAUCAUUUGAUUCAUUUCUUUCGAAUGAGUUUCGAUGGUUGAUCAUAUUUUGACUUUCUAAUUCAAAUUUCACGUGUAAAUAUCUGGCAUCUUAAAAAUGUCAAAUGGGUUAGCCUUAAAGGGCUUUUCAACCUGCAAUUUCAUUUUAAGUUCAAAUGGAACAAUUUUUUCAACCUAAAUGAAAGUUCUAGUUUUGUUUCUAGUUCCACCACUAUUUCUAGCCAAGCGUACGAGUUGUUAAAUAACACAAAGAAGUCUUAGGCUCAAUUCAAUGUGGAUGAUCUUGUAUCUGAUCCAGGAAAACGCCCCCUAUCGAGUCAUAUGGAUAUUAGAGAUGAUGUUAGGAUGACAUAGUUGGAAAAAGGUCUUUGUCAACCACAUGGACAUGACUUUCCAAGAAGACGGAUGGGAAAGGAAUUUAGGUGUUUUCAAAAAGAAUGAUGCGGCUUUUUUGCAUUGCUUCUUGUUCAAACCUGAUAGAGGGGGUCAAGGGGUGGACGUAUAUUCACUAAGACUAGCUUUAGGGAUUGGAAACACAAAAAUACAUUGAAAGAUCAUGUCGGGCUCAUUGAUAGUGCUCAUAAUCAAACUUUUGCAAAGUGUACUAACUUGAUAAAUCAAAAGCAAAAUAUCUCCUAUGUUAUUUCUAGCCAAAGUAGUAGCCAACAAAAAUGUUAUGAACAAGGUUGACUGCGGUGCUAGAUUGUACUUGAUUCCUCUUAAUGCAAUGAUUGCCAUCUAGGUCAUGAAUCUUAAUAAAGGAAUUCUAAUUGGGCUACUAAAUUGGUAUGCAGCUCGUUGUAAGGAAAAUUAAUGAAGCAGUAUUUAGUAAUACUCCUGGAAAUGACCAAUUGACUUCAUCAAGCAUUUAGAAGGAUUUGGUUAAUUGUUGUGCUGUAGAGACAACAAGGUCUAUUAUCAAUUAGAUGUGUGAUUCUUUGUUUUCAAUUUUGGUUGAUGAGUCUUGUGAUAAUUCUAUAAAAGAAGAACAAAUGACAAUUGUUUUGAGGUUUGUUGACAAAAGCGAGCAAGUGAAGGAACGUUUGUUGAACAUUUUCAAUAUCACUGAUACUUGUGCCCAAUCACUCAAGGAUGUCAUUGAUGCAAUGUUUUCUACAUCUAGCAGAGGUCAAGGUUACGAUAGAGCAAGCAAUAUGUCAGGUGAGUUCAAUAGCUUAAAAGAUUUAAUUUUAAGAGAGAACCCAUAUGCUAUGUAUGUUCAUUAUUUUGCUCACCAGUUUCAGUUGGCGGUUGUUUCUGUGGCACAUAAGAAAACAAUGCUUAAUAAUUUAUUUAACAUGCGCAAACUAUUAUGAAUUUGGUUGGUGCAUCAUGUAAACGUGUAGAUGCUCUUCGAACAAGUUAUCAUACUGAAAUUCUAGAGAGGCUUAAUAUUGGGGAACUUUCUGGUAGAACUGAUUAGUUUUAAGAAAUGAGUUCAACACACAUAGGUGAUAGGGCUCACAUUUAAAGACAAUUACUCGCUUUUAAUGUAUGUUUAAUGCGAUCAUGGAUGUUCUUGAGAUAUAUCAGAAGACGGCAUAAGUUUAGAACAAAAAUUAAUGGCCGUAAGACAGAUGAACUAUGCAAGAUUUUCAAUUUGGGUUCAGUCUCCAUUUUAUGUUUGAAAUUCUUACAAUUACAGAUGACCUUUCACAAGCCUUACAAAAAAAGGAUCAGGAUAUUCAGAGGUUAUUGAAGUUGUGUAAGUACGCAUUGCAGAACAUGAAAGACAAUGCAACUGGGAUACUUUGUUAAGGAAUAAUGCUAUUGCAGUCGCUCACUGCGGCAAUCGCCCUACGUGGCAUACAAAAUUAUCACAUUAAUGCAUCAAAUAACCACCUGCCAUGUGUAUGCCACGUAGGGCGACUACCGCAGUGAGCAACUACGAAUAGCAUUACUCUUUGUCUUAUAUGGUAAUUGAGUUUUGUGUUAAAAGGUCGACCAAGGUGUUCAGCAGGUGACUUAUUCAUUCUCAUCGCUUUUAUGUUGAUUUGUAUUGUUAUGUGAUAGAUUCAAUCUAGCAAGAGUUGAAUGAUCAUUUUCCAGAAACAACUAUUGAGCUUUUUAUUUGCAUUUCGUGUUUAAGUCAAAGAGAUUCGUUUCCAGCUUUUGAUGUAUGUAAAUAGGCUGAUAUAUUACCU